GAUGAACGCUGGCGGCGUGCCUAAUACAUGCAAGUCGAGCGAACAGAUAAGGAGCUUGCUCCUUUGAAGUUAGCGGCGGACGGGUGAGUAACACGUGGGUAACCUACCUAUAAGACUGGGAUAACUUCGGGAAACCGGAGCUAAUACCGGAUAACAUUUAGAACCGCAUGGUUCUAAAGUGAAAGAUGGUUUUGCUAUCACUUAUAGAUGGACCCGCGCCGUAUUAGCUAGUUGGUAAGGUAACGGCUUACCAAGGCGACGAUACGUAGCCGACCUGAGAGGGUGAUCGGCCACACUGGAACUGAGACACGGUCCAGACUCCUACGGGAGGCAGCAGUAGGGAAUCUUCCGCAAUGGGCGAAAGCCUGACGGAGCAACGCCGCGUGAGUGAUGAAGGGUUUCGGCUCGUAAAACUCUGUUAUUAGGGGAGAACAAAUGUGUAAGUAACUGUGCACAUCUUGACGGUACCUAAUCAGAAAGCCACGGCUAACUACGUG
Molecule: ribosomal RNA, 497 nt
Filed under: uncultured bacterium
Lineage: Bacteria
Description: partial 16S ribosomal RNA
Rfam family: Bacterial small subunit ribosomal RNA
Source: RNAcentral